RNAcentral lists this ribosomal RNA (445 nucleotides) under uncultured bacterium. RNAcentral describes it as "bacterial SSU rRNA". It matches the Rfam family "Bacterial small subunit ribosomal RNA", at positions 354 to 796 of the family's 1533-position model. The record is from RNAcentral.
GUAGGGAAUAUUGGGCAAUGGGUGCAAGCCUGACCCAGCCAUCCCGCGUGCCGGAUGAAGGCCCUCUGGGUCGUAAACGGCUUUUGACGGUGAAGAACCGAAAGGGUGCGCCCUUUUUUGACGGUAGCCGUUGAAUAAGCACCGGCUAACUCCGUGCCAGCAGCCGCGGUAAUACGGAGGGUGCGAGCGUUGUCCGGAUUUAUUGGGUUUAAAGGGUGCGUAGGCUGGAAGGACAGUCAGCGGUGAAAAGCAGUUGCUCAACAAUUGUCUUGCCGCAGAUACUUCCUUUCUUGGAUGAGGAGGAGGCCACUGGAACGGAUGGUGUAGCGGUGAAAUGCAUAGAUAUCAUCCAGAACACCGAUUGCGAAGGCAGGUGGCUGUACCUUAAUCGACGCUGAUGCACGAAAGCAUGGGGAGCAAACAGGAUUAGAAACCCUUGUAGUCC